GUUGACCCCUAACCCUGUAUCUCUCUCUAUCAGGUCCAGUUGACCCCUAACCCUGUAUCUCUCUCUAUCAGGUCCAGUUGACCUCUAACCCUGUAUCUCUCUCUAUCAGGUCCAGUUGACCCCUAACCCUGUAUCUCUCUCUAUCAGGUCCAGUUGACCCCUAACCCUGUAUCUCUCUCUAUCAGGUCCAGUUGACCCCUAACCCUGUAUCUCUCUCUAUCAGGUCCAGUUGACCUCUAACCCUGUAUCUCUCUCUAUCAGGUCCAGUUGACCCCUAACCCUGUAUCUCUCUCUAUCAGGUCCAGCUGACCCCUAACCCUGUAUCUCUCUCUAUCAGGUCCAGUUGACCCUGUAUCUCUCUCUAUCAGGUCCAGUUGACCUCUAACCCUGUAUCUCUCUCUAUCAGGUCCAGUUGACCCCUAACCCUGUAUCUCUCUCUAUCAGGUCCAGUUGACCCCUAACCCUGUAUCUCUCUCUAUCAGGUCCAGUUGACCCCUAACCCUGUAUCUCUCUCUAUCAGGUCCAGUUGACCCCUAACCCUGUAUCUCUCUCUAUCAGGUCCAGUUGACCCCUAACCCUG
Oncorhynchus keta (chum salmon) is the source of this 580-nucleotide long non-coding RNA. RefSeq lists it as uncharacterized. The record is from RefSeq and is a predicted model, not a curated record. The transcript is spliced from 3 exons. NCBI's taxonomy places the organism in Eukaryota, Metazoa, Chordata, Actinopteri, Salmoniformes, Salmonidae.